AGAGUUUGAUCCUGGCUCAGGAUGAACGCUAGCUAUAGGCUUAACACAUGCAAGUCGAGGGGAAACGGCAGAGAGUGCUUGCACACUUUGGACGUCGACCGGCGCACGGGUGAGUAACGCGUAUCCAACCUGCCCUUUACUUGGGGAUAACCCGUUGAAAGACGGACUAAUACCCAAUGAUAUUCAUUGAUGACAUCUGAUUUGAAUUAAAGAUUUAUCGGUAUAGGAUGGGGAUGCGUCUGAUUAGCUUGUUGGUGAGGUAACGGCUCACCAAGGCAACGAUCAGUAGGGGUUCUGAGAGGAAGGUCCCCCACAUUGGAACUGAGACACGGUCCAAACUCCUACGGGAGGCAGCAGUGAGGAAUAUUGGUCAAUGGACGAGAGUCUGAACCAGCCAAGUAGCGUGCAGGAUGACGGCCCUAUGGGUUGUAAACUGCUUUUGUUUGGGAAUAAUCGACAUUACGUGUAAUGUUUUGCAUGUACCAUUCGAAUAAGGACCGGCUAAUUCCGUGCCAGCAGCCGCGGUAAAAGGG
RNAcentral lists this ribosomal RNA (533 nucleotides) under uncultured Bacteroidales bacterium. RNAcentral's name for it is "bacterial SSU rRNA". It matches the Rfam family "Bacterial small subunit ribosomal RNA", at positions 8 to 528 of the family's 1533-position model. Lineage: Bacteria; Pseudomonadati; Bacteroidota; Bacteroidia; Bacteroidales. The record is from RNAcentral.